UUUAUUUAAUGCGAAAUGUGAUGUGUAAUUUCCUGACACAUGCAUCAGUUUGCUUUUACAUAUUAACUAUGCCAAUUGAAGUAAAGUCCAUACAUAUUUACAGCCUUAUACCUCUUCUGGCCCCUUACCUCUUAAUAGCGUUUGGACUGGGCCUGCACUUCUACCAGUUUCCUCAAGGUCUACCUAAAUACUGUAAUGUGGGUAUAAUUUAAGGAUCAGAUCAGCCAUUUUACAAAAAGAACAAAACAUUUUUCCAUAUACCUUUUUACUAGUGUGUGGCCAUUCCGAUAGUUUUGGGUUUAUCUGCUCACAAUUUUAAAAUAUCCAUUUUGAAUAUGUUUGCUUCUCUCUUAAUACAAUUAAGGUGAAUAGAAUUUAGUUUGUGGUGCUCAAAGUAUUGGAAGUGAUGUAUGAAAAAAAAAAACAAUAAUCCACAGGCAC
Molecule: long non-coding RNA, 441 nt
Organism: Etheostoma spectabile (orangethroat darter)
Lineage: Eukaryota; Metazoa; Chordata; Actinopteri; Perciformes; Percidae
Exons: 3
Source: RefSeq, a predicted model, not a curated record